Long non-coding RNA from Ictalurus punctatus (channel catfish), 552 nucleotides. The record is from Ensembl. Lineage: Eukaryota; Metazoa; Chordata; Actinopteri; Siluriformes; Ictaluridae.
GGUUAGGGUUAGGGUUAGGGGGUUAGGGUUAGGGUUAGGGGGUUAGGGUUAGGGUUAAGGUUAGGGUUAGGGGCCAGGGUAGGCGCUAACCUGUAUGCACUGUCCAUCUAAUGUCGCUCACUCCACUGGGUUUCACCCCCAUGUCAGCCGGUCCAUUCCCACCAUUCUUUUUCUCUUUUGUUUUUUUCUCCAGUUCCCUCGGACUCAGUGAGUAUAUUUUCGGGGUCAUGUCGUGUGAGCAUGCCGUGUGUCAUUUUUCUUGUGCCUCCCGGUGGGAUUGAGUCUUUGUUGAGCCUGUCGGGCUGUAGUGGAGUGACCCGGAUUCCCCUUCGUGCGUCGGAACUGGCCCGUUCGCGGUCCCUGAUAGGGAUAGGAUGAUUUUCCUGUCUGGUACAGGAGUUUGGGCGGACGCUGGAGCGUGUCGUACUCGCGGGGAGGCCGGGCAGUUAAGAGAAAUGUCCGGAAGGCUGCCCGCGUCCUCGUGGUCGACGGAGGACACAUCGCUCUGAGGGUCAGUCAUCGUGGACCUCGUUUGUUUUCUCUGCGGGGCGG